Molecule: ribosomal RNA, 500 nt
Filed under: uncultured bacterium
Lineage: Bacteria
Description: partial 16S ribosomal RNA
Rfam family: Bacterial small subunit ribosomal RNA
Source: RNAcentral
AUUGAACGCUGGCGGAAUGCUUUACACAUGCAAGUCGAACGGCAGCACGGACUUCGGUCUGGUGGCGAGUGGCGAACGGGUGAGUAAUGUAUCGGAACGUGCCCAGUCGUGGGGGAUAACGUGGUGAAAAUUACGCUAAUACCGCAUACGAUCUACGGAUGAAAGCGGGGGAUCGCAAGACCUCGCGCGAUUGGAGCGGCCGAUAUCAGAUUAGGUAGUUGGUGGGGAAAAGGCCCACCAAGCCAACGAUCUGUAGCUGGUCUGAGAGGACGAUCAGUCCAACUGGAAUGGAGACACGAUCUCGACGCAUACGGCAGGCAUCAGUGGGGAAUUUUGGACAAUGGGCGAAAGCAUGAUCCAGCCAUUCCGCGUGCAGGAUGAAGGCCCUCGGGUUGUAAACUGCUUUUGUACAGAACGAAAAGGUUUCUACUAAUACUAGGAGCUCAUGACGGUACUGUAAGAAUAAGCACCGGCUAACUACGUGCCAGCAGCAGCCGCCG